UACUACAGCCAUAUGACCCUGCAGCCCGAGACCUGUCCCUCACUGAAGCUAAGCAGGGCUGAGCCUGUCCAGUUCCUGGAUGGGAGACCACAUGGGAAAACUAGGCUGCUGUUGGAA
Danio rerio (zebrafish) is the source of this 117-nucleotide ribosomal RNA. Lineage: Eukaryota; Metazoa; Chordata; Actinopteri; Cypriniformes; Danionidae. The record is from Ensembl.